CGGGACGUGGCUCAGCCUGGUAGAGCGCUGCGUUCGGGACGCAGAGGUCGCUGGUUCAAAUCCAGUCGUCCCGA
This 74-nucleotide transfer RNA is filed under the name Syntrophobacteraceae bacterium. RNAcentral's name for it is "tRNA-Pro". It matches the Rfam family "tRNA". Rfam says of the family: Transfer RNA (tRNA) molecules are approximately 80 nucleotides in length. Their secondary structure includes four short double-helical elements and three loops (D, anti-codon, and T loops). Further hydrogen bonds mediate the characteristic L-shaped molecular structure. tRNAs have two regions of fundamental functional importance: the anti-codon, which is responsible for specific mRNA codon recognition, and the 3' end, to which the tRNAs corresponding amino acid is attached (by aminoacyl-tRNA synthetases). tRNAs cope with the degeneracy of the genetic code in two manners: having more than one tRNA (with a specific anti-codon) for a particular amino acid; and 'wobble' base-pairing, i.e. permitting non-standard base-pairing at the 3rd anti-codon position. The record is from RNAcentral. Lineage: Bacteria; Pseudomonadati; Thermodesulfobacteriota; Syntrophobacteria; Syntrophobacterales; Syntrophobacteraceae.